CUUGACAUCCAGCGAAUUCGGUAGUAGGACCUUUAGUGGCCUUCCGGGGAACGCUGAGACAGGUGCUGCAUGGCUGUCGUCAGCUCGUGUUGUGAAAUGUUGGGUUAAGUCCCGCAACGAGCGCAACCCUUAUCCUUUGUUGCCAGCGGUCCGGCCGGGAACUCAAAGGAGACUGCCAGUGAUAAACUGGAGGAAGGUGGGGAUGACGUCAAGUCAUCAUGGCCCUUACGAGUAGGGCUACACACGUGCUACAAUGGCGCAUACAAAGAGAAGCGACCUCGCGAGAGCAAGCGGACCUCAUAAAGUGCGUCGUAGUCCGGAUUGGAGUCUGCAACUCGACUCCAUGAAGUCGGAAUCGCUAGUAAUCGUAGAUCAGAAUGCUACGGUGAAUACGUUCCCGGGCCUUGUACACACCGCCCGUCACACCAUGGGAGUGGGUUGCAAAAGAAGUAGGUAGCUUAACCUUCGGGAGGGCGCUUACCACUUUGUGAUUCAUGACUGGGGUGAAGUCGUAACAAGGUAAGCGUAGAUGA
This 533-nucleotide ribosomal RNA is filed under the name uncultured bacterium. RNAcentral describes it as "bacterial SSU rRNA". It matches the Rfam family "Bacterial small subunit ribosomal RNA", at positions 980 to 1509 of the family's 1533-position model. The record is from RNAcentral.